CGCCCUCCACAGUACUGUGGCGCUGUUGGCCCAAUGUCGCAGCGUCAAGGCAUGUGCCAUGUGGCGCUUUCGUUAGUAUGUGUGUUUAACUCUUUCCAGCUCUGCGCAGACCGAUCACUUUAUGACAAAGAGCAUGCGGACUUAGAAUAACAUCUCUAAAGCAUACAGAGCAGUCAGUUCACAAAUAGCUCUCACUGUGCUUUGAUGUCGCCGAUCAGUCUGCGAUCAAACAUCAGUGGCACGAGUGUUCACCGGUGUUGUUCCGCUCGCGCGGAAUUCAAAAUAACGGAUCGCAACAACCUCUCGACUGUCCCAUUGGAUAAUUUUCAGUAUUUUCCAGUUGAGCAGCAAAAAAAUGGGCAACCAAGGCCAACAGACCCAGCCCACCCUGAUGCUCAUCCUUGCACUGCCUGGGACACCUAAGGCCAACAGGCGCAGCUCCUGUUCUCUUUUUGCCAUAAAUACA
Triplophysa rosa is the source of this 466-nucleotide long non-coding RNA. RefSeq lists it as uncharacterized. Lineage: Eukaryota; Metazoa; Chordata; Actinopteri; Cypriniformes; Nemacheilidae. The transcript has 3 exons. The record is from RefSeq and is a predicted model, not a curated record.